This 197-nucleotide ribosomal RNA is filed under the name Bothus ocellatus (eyed flounder). RNAcentral's name for it is "partial large subunit ribosomal RNA". Lineage: Eukaryota; Metazoa; Chordata; Actinopteri; Pleuronectiformes; Bothidae. The record is from RNAcentral.
AUGAGGACCUGUAUGAAAGGCGUGACGAGGGCUUAACUGUCUCCUUUUCCUGAUCAGUGAAAUUGAUCUCCCCGUGCAGAAGCGGGGAUAAAACUAUAAGACGAGAAGACCCUGUGGAGCUUAAGACAAAAGAGCAGCCUAUGUCACCAAACUUUUCCCCAAACAGUAUAUAACCUAGUAGCACCUGCCCCAAUGUC